AUGGGCAGGAAGUUAAGAUGGAAAGAAGUUAUGCAAAGAACAAUAGAAAGCUCCAUUGAAGAUGAAAAUUUGGAGCUUCCUAUGCGUGAAACUAGAGUGGGUUGGUAAAUACAAAGGUUCGUAUAGAGGUUGUUUGGGAGAUAAAAGAAAGAGGCAUGCAUGCCAUAUGAUCAGUUGGAGUAUCCAUGAUGACGGUGAAG
Molecule: long non-coding RNA, 200 nt
Filed under: Elaeis guineensis (African oil palm)
Lineage: Eukaryota; Viridiplantae; Streptophyta; Magnoliopsida; Arecales; Arecaceae
Description: long non-coding RNA (EGUI_LNC016217)
Source: RNAcentral